Molecule: long non-coding RNA, 6720 nt
Organism: Bombus impatiens (common eastern bumble bee)
Lineage: Eukaryota; Metazoa; Arthropoda; Insecta; Hymenoptera; Apidae
Exons: 2
Source: RefSeq, a predicted model, not a curated record
CCGCAACUCGACUGUUAUAAAUCAAAGAUAUAUCGAGAUCUUUCGAGAUCGGAUCGUGUCGUUGAUCCGUUGAACCGUGGCACGCUGAUUCGAAACAUUUUAAAUCCUAUCGUGUACCAAUCAACAGUAAUGAAAUUCCAAUAUAAAGAAAAAGAAACUAAAAAUAUCAUCGAAAAAGGACAAGAGAGAGGAAAUAUACACAUAUUACAAAUUCUACAAUUUUUUGUAUAAAAAUAAAAAUAGAUUCAACAGGAAAAAGAAAAAAAAAGGAAAUUCUCUGGACUAAAAUUUCGAUCGUGGAACGCAUGUAUUCCAAAACAAAGUUGUCGAGAGCGCGAACAAUCGAUUUUGUCUGUCAAAUCAGCUUCCGCGGUCAACGGUUCAAUGCGAUCCAAUAUUCUCACUUCGCUGCCAAUACAAUCCGCAACUCCAUUCGAGCCGGCCUUUACCGGCCGCGAUAGUUCGCGCAAGAGGAGUUAAUGCCACUGGUUGAAUCCAAAAGCGAUACAAAUUGAUUUUACAAACGGAACAAUGCACGCGGCAUCGCGUGUAUGCAGCGAACCCAGAUGUCGCCAGCGUCAGUUUCUCGAUCAUGCUUACAGGUUAGCUGUCGCAUCGUAUUGGCAACGACGCGGGAACAUUUUCUUUCAGUCACAUUCACUUUCUUGCAAUUUGCAUGGUAUUUUGUUCAUGGUUGCAUUCUUUUAAGAGGUUUUGUUCAUUUCUUCUUUUUUUGCUUGACUGUGGGUAGUUGUUCUUUUUUUUUUUAAAGAGUAUCGAGCAGAUUGUCAAUUCGGGAGCAAAAAAGAACACGAUCGUCCUGAGGCAGGAUAAUAAUAAUAAUAAUAAUAAAUAAAGGGCGGGUAGUAAACUUUCGUGAGAGUAGAACUGCAUGCAUAUAUAAUCAUGUAUAAAUAGAUAUGUAAUAAAGGCAAUGAAAAUAUGUACGUAAUAAGUUUCAGGGCUGGAUUAUCUGCGAUAUAUAAAAGUUGGAGUAUGUUGAAGCUGAAUAUUUUAAGCGAUUUGUGUAAUAGUGCUGAAUAUAAUGAGAUCGAUAUAGGUAGGUAAGAUAAUAAUAAUAAUGAUGAUAAUAAUAAUAAUAUAUAGAGAAUAUGCUGUGAAUCGGGUACAUACGUACGCAGCUUGUUAUGGGGCGCUGUGUAAUGAGCAACGACAUUUGUGAACGAAGAUAUUAUAUACGGUGAUUCUUAAUUACCCAUCUCUAUAUGUUUGUGAGACACUGAUUUAAGUAAAAAAUGGAACUGAAAGAAAUUAUAAUAUUAAUAAUUAUUUAUAAUUACUUUAUGUAUAAAAAUUAUGCAGAUUAUAUUUAAAGUGCAAACUGUACAGUCGGAAGCUGCGACUGAUUAAAACAUUUUGCGCCAUGUUUGGGGUAUCAUAUUGUUGGAGAAUUGUACAAAAAGUUGUUUAAUCGGAGAAUGCUGUAUGAAAAUUCAACAAUACCUAUAAAUCACAAACAGGUUGGUAUCAGUGAUUAGAUAUUUUCCACAAAUGCCUCCCGCAUUUGUAGAAUAUGGAGAAAGUAAUCUAUAUUCGCAAAUAAAAAACAUCUUAGAAUACUGAGAAAGUCGAUAACUUUUCAUUCUUGAGACUUAAUAAUGUAUAAAGAAAUCAAUUAGAAUAGAACGUAUUUUUCUUUAAAAAAAUAAUUAUAAUUACGAUAGAGUUGUUCUCACAUAAAGAAACUCGAAUUUAAAAUAUUUAUUGUAAGUUAUCCUGUUUAGUUCAUUAGAGUUCAUGAAACGUGAAAACACCUUUAAUUUACAUAGAAUGAGUCUACGGGGGUGUCGAGAUAUUUACAUCUACAUUUGCCGAAUUUAUAAUCAAGAAAAUAGUUCUAAUAAAUAAUAUUAAAACAAUAAUUUAGUUUUACUUUUAUAAACAGAUUAAACAUCUUAUAUUUGAACAUUCACCAUGAAAUAUUGUUCUAAUAAAAAAUAAUGAAGUUCUCUUAACAUUCACAGUGCCCCUUCAAACUCAUCUACUGGAAUAUAUUUUCCAAAUUAUUCUCGCGUAAUGAAGAAUCAUCUUUCCUUUGUCAAUUUUAGCAAAAUAUGAAAAUAUGAUAGAACACGUACAACAAGCUGCAUAGAUGCAUUCGAUAUAUGUAUAAAUAUAUAUAUAUAUUCAUUGGUCCCUAAGGGAUUGCGUAUGGGGGCAUGAUUCGUUCUUGGAGGAUCCACACAUUCCCCCGUGAAUCGAAAGUCAGACGAUAUCUAAUUCGUCCAAGGGACAAAUGAUCGCAUCAUCGUCCCGGAAAGUGAGCAAUGCCGUGCACUUCCGGCUGCGCGCACCGUGCCACCAUUCUCGUUCCAUCGGCGACUUGGGGAUCAAACAUUACCGGGGUUCUGAUCCUCCAAGUACGAGCAUAGCAAGGUGGCAGGCACAGUUGUUACUACUGGUAAAAAAAUAAAUAAGAAUAGAAAAUCCACAAACCAGAGUGAACGGUAUAUAAAAAGGAAACGCAAAUCAGUUUAACUCAAUUUGAAAAAAACGUAACGGAAAGAAGAGAGAAACGGAUAUAUAUAUAUAUAUGUACAUGAUAUAUCUUGUAUAUAUAUAUAUGUAGAUCAAUUUCAAGACACACCGACAUCUGGCGGCGGAUACUGAACCUAGAUGUGUGCAAGACUGAAUAAUGGAAACGUAGAAAAAGAAAGAAAAAUAGUAAAGAAAGAAAAAUCAAAGAAUGACGGUAUCUCGAUAGAGAGAUCGCGCGAUACACCGACGCAAUGCCGAAUUCUAUCUCUCUUUGCUUGGAAAUUUUCCCUCCAUCUCGGUCAGCGAUACGACGGUUAUCUAAGUUAUCUUUCAUCGCGCCAUAUUUCUUUUCCUCCCGCGCGCGCUCACUUUCAAACGUAUCAAUGACUUUCCUCUUUUCUGCCUGCUCUUUUUUCUUCUUUCUCGUUUUGAAAACUUUUCUGUGGUUCAGAUACUCGUCCGUUUCUCAUUCUCGAAUAAAAUAACAUGUUCUCAAACGAUUUCAAAUGAUCUCUUGAUUCUUGUUCUUUUCAAAACGUUCGUAUAAAAUUGAAACACUCGAACCGCGAGGUUAUGCGAUAUUAAUUGAAGGAAAUUUUUUGCUGUCUUCUAAUUUAUAAGAAAUUAUUUCCGGUUUUUGACGUGAACCACGGACGGAUACGGACGAAUCGAUUUUCUCCAAAAGAGGGUUUCUGUCGUGUUUUGGUAUGAGAUAUAACUUUCGGUGGGUAGAUAGCACGGAUCGGUUAAAGACAGACACAGGGCUUUUGGUGUAACGGGGUUAUUGGCACAUUGUAGACAGGUGAUAACAGACGUAGACAAGGGACAAGAGAGGGAAUGGUCGUUCGGGUCCUUCGUAUCAUAUCCUGUAUCAUAAAGCUGUGUGUUGAACGGUUCCGAUUUCGUAAUUAUUGCCGAUCCGUCGAUUCGGAACAAUACAACGUGAUGUGAACACGUUUUCUCAUUCUCGUUUUCAUCGUUUAUAUAUAUGUAUAUUUUAUUUGAUUUUGUACCACGAUUUUGUAUCUCCUCUACUGCAUAUGUAUGUAUAUAUAUAUAUGUUGAUAAUGAUGAUGUAUAAUAUUUUAUAUCAUCAAUUUAUCUCGACAAACGACGGAAAGGAACAAUUGAACAAAAAAUUGGAACGCAAGAAUAUAUAUGUCUUUGACGCAAGAGGCGCGCAAUAAAGUUAGCGUUCGUGUAUAAGAUGCUAGGGGACAAAAAGUCACUAGAAACAAAUUCGACAAGGGGUUAUGAAAUACACAACGUACAUAAAAAAGUGCAAGCCUGGCAACACAAAAAACAACACAAGACCAGACAGGAUAUAUAUCGUUACGUAAAAAAUUACACGAUUGUCAAACAUACUAUUACUUGGUUUGUAGCCGGUUACGGUAUAUAUCAGGGCGAUCAUAGUAAUAGUAGCUAAGAACUCAGCGCUAAACAGGACAAGAUGACAAUACAUAAACAGAACAACAGAGAAGGAACGAAACAGAAUAAAGAGAGAAGUAGAGAGAAGGGCGGACAACGGCAGGAUUAUAGACAACGAUCAUCCGACGACAUAUCACAGAUAACACAGAGACACUUCGAUACGAUUAUACUUUCAAUGUAGGUGUGAAGAGAGUGCUCGACCCUUUGGCUGUGGCGAUACGUUCACGCGAUUUCGAUUGAUUUUAAAUUUUCCCCGUUUGAAGGCUAUCGGUAAAGUAGAUUCGUUUUGUUAUCGACCCGUCAAAGUCCCUAGAUUAAAGGCGAAACAAAUGCGAUUUAGGUUUCGAAUUUUGGUAUCGUUACAGGGCUACAACUCAACUGCUAAACGAAUCAGCGUAAAUUUUGUUCGAUUAUCAAAUACUCGAAUUCCCUGUGUCGUACAAAAGUGAUAUUAACGAAGCUGGACCAUCGAACCUCGUCGAAAUUUGUUUUUCACGCGAACAGUAAGCGGCAGCCGUCGAGUCGGAGAUGACAGAAACAAAUACGCAGGUAGACAGGUAAAAAGGUAGCGACGGAACUAAAAAAUGACAGAGCGACAGAAUGGAAAGAAGAGAGGAAAACGAUAGACAGGCGAUUAAAAACGGAGUAUAGAGGGUUUGAAAGGGCGGAGAGACGAGUCAAAUAAGCGAGGUAUGAUCAAACACUGGCAAACAUAAUUGGUAACGUAACUGAAUCGAUAACAGGCUGAACCAGGGUCGAUAGAAUAGAAGAAAUAUAAAGAGCGUUGAAAAAGACCAACUGGGAAUAUAUAUAGAAUAGUAUAGAGACAAAAACAAUAACUGAAACGGAGAAAGAGAGAAAAAGAGAGACGUGAUACGCAGGCUAAGGGUAUGAACAUACGUAUACAUAUAUAGAUAGAUUACAUAUAAUGGGACAUACGAAAAAACAUGUAAGAUGAAUGUUACGAGCGAAACGAGCAAAUAGAAGGUAACUUUUUCUUGCUUUUUUUCUUUCAUUAAAAAAAAAUUCUGUUUUUUUUUUCUUUUGGAUUAAUGAACGAUUAGCGAGAGAGCUUGAGCUGCAACUUACCGCGGUGUAAAGGAACUCCAGAACGUACUACGUGUGGGAAAAAACCAACGAGAAGAAAGGGCGUUACCACGGUCACAGAACCCGCGUUUGCGGGCAAAAAAACGGACGCGCGUACGCAGCAUUGCGCGAGCAAUCGUCUAUUUCGCAUAAUCAUACCUUAUUGACUUUAUUCCCUUUCUUUUGCAUCGUUUUUCAUUUAUGUAUUUCAAAUUUUCGCGCCAUCGCGGCAUAACCGUUUCGAUAUAGCGAACCUCGAUUCCCUCUCUACGAUUGUUUCGAUCGGAGGUUAACUUCCGAAGGUUCAUCCCCACUACACGACUCUAGACAUCUCCCCCACCCCAUUGCACGUUCGCGCCAAGUUUGAUCGUGUACGCGCGAAUCUCGCGGCGAAAAUCGAAUGCUCUAUCGCAAUGUUCCGCACGCCGUUACAGAAACAAUAGACGUAGACACACACUAAUCAAGCGUACCCAUCACACACGCGAUCUUCGCCAGUCACGCAACAUGAACGCAGUCACUCACAGACUCAUCCAACAUAGAGUGGUAAUACACGUGACAGACACAAGUUGGAAACUACGCACACACAUCUGUAUAUAUACGACGAUUAUACACGUGUAUAUAAUAUAUAUAUAUAUGCAGAGUAAAGAGAGAAAGAGAUGGAGAGCUCCAGCGCGUCUUCGCGUGAUCGAUGCAUUUGGAACGGGUACUGCACACGCGUUAACGAGACAUGGCCGUCGUCGUUUCGUUUGGAAUCCAACAUCGACGUCGAUUCGAGAUUCGUCCCGUAUCGAGGGAGUCACGAGUAACGGGUGUCGCACGAAGGAUCCUCUUAUCGCGUCGCUCAUCGAAGCCGAGCCUCGAACUGACAAUGAGGAGAGAUUCCAUCGGAGCUUGGACUGCCAUGUUGGCAGACGAUCUUCGAAUAUUGAUUACGCUCUGUCCGAGCAAUCCCGAUGCCAACCUGAAUUUCUGAUUCACCGGGAUACUUGUAUGCAGUCUGUACGCUCGAGAUUCCAUUGAAAGUGGUGGGGAGAAUUAGCGUUCUCUGAGUCGUUUCAUAAAAAACGACCCUUUCUUUCUUUCGCUUCGUGAAUGAUCCAAAUUAAUUUUAUACUAUGAUACAAACUGCAAGUCCUACUCUACAUAUUUUAAUUUUAUAUUUUUUCCAGAAAGGAGAAAGUAGUUACCGUAGUAUGAUUGGAAAACGGUGAUUCUAUGUAGAGAUAAAUCAAAGUUAAGAAACGAGUAUGCUUCGCCUUGGCGGGAAUUUUGAAUAUUGAUAUUGAUUGAUUGAUGAUCGAAUAUUUGAUAGAAGUUAUCUGACUGAUCGUGACUGUCCUGAAUUUUCAACUAAUAAAUGUUGAUAUUAAAAGUACUUCGAAACGUUAAAAUUGAUUGUAACUCAUUUAUGAAAGCUUGAAAAAAUGAUAGAAGAUGAUUCUGUUAAGUUUAACGAAAUUCGUGUAUUUGAUUUUAUGUAUGUAAUUAUAUAUUGCCACCAUUUUUAGGUGAAUUUUAUUAUCAAUUCAGCAAAUUAUUAUAUUUGUGUAAAUGUAUCAAAGAUAAAUGUUAAAAAGCAAAUAAUUCACAAGGGGUUUCAUGUUUUACAUCAGCAUUCAAAUGAUUGUCAUAAAAAGAACAAAUAAGGUCAAAUAAAAUUCCUUCGUGUAAUAUGCAUCAAUAAAUAUAUGAAAUUUUGAAAUAGAA